Lycium ferocissimum is the source of this 127-nucleotide small nuclear RNA. NCBI's taxonomy places the organism in Eukaryota, Viridiplantae, Streptophyta, Magnoliopsida, Solanales, Solanaceae. The record is from RefSeq and is a predicted model, not a curated record.
GAGUUCGUAGAAAUGAGAGAUGGUUGGCAUCUCCCCCGACAGGGAUGGGAACAGCCUUCGGGCUUUACCUGUUAUCAGACAUCCGGGUAAGGCUACCCACUUUGGCAUAUCUUACCCAAUUUUUUCU